UGCAAGUCGAGCGAAUCUGAGGGAGCUUGCUCCCAAAGAUUAGCGGCGGACGGGUGAGUAACACGUGGGCAACCUGCCUGUAAGACUGGGAUAACUUCGGGAAACCGGAGCUAAUACCGGAUAAUCCCUUUCCUCACAUGAGGAAAGGCUGAAAGACGGCGUCUAGCUGUCACUUACAGAUGGGCCCGCGGCGCAUUAGCUAGUUGGUGAGGUAACGGCUCACCAAGGCCACGAUGCGUAGCCGACCUGAGAGGGUGAUCGGCCACACUGGGACUGAGACACGGCCCAGACUCCUACGGGAGGCAGCAGUAGGGAAUCUUCCGCAAUGGACGAAAGUCUGACGGAGCAACGCCGCGUGAGUGAUGAAGGUUUUCGGAUCGUAAAACUCUGUUGUUAGGGAAGAACAAGUAUCGGAGUAACUGCCGGUACCUUGACGGUACCUAACCAGAAAGCCACGGCUAACUACGUGCCAGCAGCCGCGGUAAUACGUAGGUGGCAAGCGUUGUCCGGAAUUAUUGGGCGUAAAGCGCGCGCAGGUGGUUCCUUAAGUCUGAUGUGAAAGCCCACGGCUCAACCGUGGAGGGUCAUUGGAAACUGGGGAACUUGAGUGCAGAAGAGGAAAGUGGAAUUCCAAGUGUAGCGGUGAAAUGCGUAGAGAUUUGGAGGAACACCAGUGGCGAAGGCGACUUUCUGGUCUGUAACUGACACUGAGGCGCGAAAGCGUGGGGAGCGAACAGGAUUAGAUACCCUGGUAGUCCACGCCGUAAACGAUGAGUGCUAAGUGUUAGAGGGUUUCCGCCCUUUAGUGCUGCAGCAAACGCAUUAAGCACUCCGCCUGGGGAGUACGACCGCAAGGUUGAAACUCAAAGGAAUUGACGGGGGCCCGCACAAGCGGUGGAGCAUGUGGUUUAAUUCGAAGCAACGCGAAGAACCUUACCAGGUCUUGACAUCCUCUGACAAUCCUAGAGAUAGGACGUU
This 978-nucleotide ribosomal RNA is filed under the name Cytobacillus horneckiae. RNAcentral describes it as "bacterial SSU rRNA". It matches the Rfam family "Bacterial small subunit ribosomal RNA", at positions 56 to 1015 of the family's 1533-position model. Lineage: Bacteria; Bacillati; Bacillota; Bacilli; Caryophanales; Bacillaceae. The record is from RNAcentral.